RNAcentral lists this long non-coding RNA (223 nucleotides) under Nicotiana benthamiana. Its description in RNAcentral is "long non-coding RNA (NBEN_LNC041199)". The record is from RNAcentral. Lineage: Eukaryota; Viridiplantae; Streptophyta; Magnoliopsida; Solanales; Solanaceae.
GCAAAUAUUCAUUAUAGUUAAUAUGGCUGAUUUAUUUAUCAAAUCUCUACCAACGAUCUCUUGAAGCUAGUGCACAAGAUUGGGAUGCGAAGACUCAAGGAUGUGAAUUGAUGCUCUUUUAGAGGGAGUUAAUGCGCGUUGCACUCUUUAUCACUUACAAGGUUUUGUCCCACUGGGUUUUCCUUGCAAGGUUUUUAACGAGGCAACCAAUAGGCGCAUUUGU